RNAcentral lists this long non-coding RNA (655 nucleotides) under Vigna radiata. RNAcentral's name for it is "long non-coding RNA (VRAD_LNC009030)". The record is from RNAcentral. Lineage: Eukaryota; Viridiplantae; Streptophyta; Magnoliopsida; Fabales; Fabaceae.
ACUUCUUUAAAUUCAAUUCCAGUGUUUUCAUCAAGUUUUAGUUGCUGUAACUGGAUGCAUUUCAGUGUCCAUAGGUCAUUUGAUUCUGUGCACUAAAAUUUGGAUGGUUGAGUUGCUAGUUUGCUGCAUAAAAGGAGUUGAACAAGUCAAAAUUUGUUUAAAGCUGUUUCUGCAUCAAUUUUUCGUUUCAGCAAUUCUGUAUUGGCUAUUGAAACUUGGUUAUGCAAAGAAAAUUUGACUUCUAACAACUCUGCACAAUUUCACUCUUUCAACCAUCAAUUUUAGUCAACAAAUGUUUGAGAACAAGCUGCCUAAUUCCAAUUUGAUUGAGUAAUUUGAUUUGGUGCAUUUNAGUCAAUUAAACUUGUAGCAAAAGCUUGGCCAAGUGUAUUGAACAUUGGAAAGAAAGAAAAGAUGAAAAUAAACAAGAAUAUAGAAACAAAUAUCGUGAAAUAAAAAGCUGAUUGGCCAGUACAAGUGAAUUUGCAAAUUCUGGUGCACCAAACUGGUUUUUUUCUCUCAGGCAAUUUAUCAAACAGUUUCAACCAAAUUUUAUUUGCCUUCCAUUUCGAUUCUUCUGCAGCUUGUUUUGAUUUCUUGCUUUAUUAAUCUGCUCUAGAACUAUUCCUAGGUUCAUUUUGAUGUGCCACCGUGU